Molecule: non-coding RNA, 1976 nt
Organism: Vicugna pacos (alpaca)
Lineage: Eukaryota; Metazoa; Chordata; Mammalia; Artiodactyla; Camelidae
Source: RefSeq, a predicted model, not a curated record
UUUAAGCACACAUCACUCUUUGUAUCUUCAUUUAAUAUGAAGAUGGUAUCCAAGGGAGAUAACUGCUUUGAAAGGGAAGUGUUUUUGUUUUGUUUUUUUAAUUUUGUUUCGCUUUCUGAGGGGUUUUCAUCACUUAAAUGCAUUAUUCCGUUUGUGUGUGGAAAAGAAAAGAAGGAGAGAUGUCUGAAAUGUCUCUAGUCUUAAACUGAUUUUCCGUGACUUGGAGCCCACUCUGAAGUGUUCAGGCCUCCUGGGGUACCAGGAAAAUUGCACAGCAAGUGCCUCCAUUCUGCCUUCGUACCUGUGUGCUGCAGAUAAUAAAGUGUGAUGAUGUUGGAGAAGGAUUCCCCAUUUCCAGCGAGGAAACCCGCCCAGGGCUACGUGACGGAAUGGGCAGCACGACCCGCUCCUCGGUUCAGGUGGCGGUGUCUCUGCUAAUUGACGCUGGGUUUUAAGAAUGGCACAUUAAAAUUUCCGUUUAAAAAACCACACACGUCACCUCAGUAAGUUCAAACCCACCCAAAUGUGAAGACAGAAUGUGGCCAGCAGAGCUCCUCUGAAUUCGUCCACUGUCUUGUCUCAGUUUCUUUAUUACCGAGAAGCCGUACAUCACAGCAGUUUUAUUAAAAAUGUCAUCGGUCCCUCCCUGGUGGUUUUAUAGAUCUGGCAAUCGUGUUUCUAUGAGAGUAAAAGCAUCCGAACAGUCAGAGAAGUACGAACCAUCCUCAGGUACACCUAGAUUAAAGGAUAUUGUACAAUCCACUAACAGGGUGCAGCAUUUCUGCCGGCUGAAGGAAGUGGGCAGCUUUGAUCAGAAUUCACAAUAAUAUAUCUCCCUUGUGUGAUAAAUGAUUUACUGCUGAGGAUAAAUGGAUAUAAUCUUUCAUUAUGCAUGACAUUCAUCAGCAACAAGGAAGCUUUGGGCUGAAUGGAAAGUGAUUUCAUAUUAAAAGCCUCCUGCAACUCAGACUGCGACGAAAGUGAGGCCUUGCCUUGAAAAAAUAAAUGGCACAGGCUUGUAAGUUUAAGCGGAUGCUCAGUCAGAUGUAAUCAUUACCGUAAAUUGGAAAAUCUGUUAGGAGGAAACCGGGGAAAUAUAUGGCUAGAUCAAUCUCAAUUUUGCACAAAAAGCCCCAUUUUUAAACCAUACUAUCCUACUUACUGAAAUGUGUCAUUAAGUCCCAACUUUGAAAGCUGAAAGUAGUGAUAGAACCAGGUGAGGGGAGAGAGCAGAGGUGGGGUGUUGUGUAAGUGACUGAAAUCCCUGUCAUUAUAGAAAGUUAUGCACAAUGCACCAUAACUAAAGUAGAUAAAUCAAAAAACAGAGGCUCCACGUGUUAUUUAGAGAUACGAAGUUAACAACCACGAAAAUGCCCAACGAAAAUGGUUCAGUAAGCAUGUCUGUGUGUUUGGGGAGGGGAUAUGUGUUGGGGAAAUGGGAGGUAGAGCACCGGUUCAGAAGGGCAAGACAAAGGUUGUGGCUUUUCAUUGUAAGCACAUUAAUGUUUUUCACUUAUUAAAAUGUACACAUUUAGAUGAUAAAGAAGUUUAAGUACCACAAAUCAUUUAAUUUUAAAAAUGACUCAGGUUUUUUGCUUCCUUGACUCUGUGACUCAGUUAAUAAUAUCACAUCUUCAUUUGAUUUUCAGUAAUAAGAAUUCCCCGAUACUGUCGUAUAUCUCAGAAACAAACAAGAUAUAACAUGAAAGACAAUGUGAAGGGAUGAGAAGGCAAGCCACAGACUGGGAGAAAUAUUUGUAGAAAGACACAUCUGAUAAAUGAGUGUUAUCCAAAUCACACAAAGAACUCUUAAUAUUCAAUAAUAAGAAAAUAAACAACCCAAUUUAAAACAGAAACAACAGGUCAUAGAUCUUAACAGACAGUUCACCAAAGAAGAUAUACAGAUGGCAGUUAAUCAUAUGAAAAGAUGCUCCACACUGUAUAUCAUCAGAGAAAUGCAAAUUAAAGCCACAGUG